Molecule: ribosomal RNA, 373 nt
Filed under: uncultured bacterium
Lineage: Bacteria
Description: bacterial SSU rRNA
Rfam family: Bacterial small subunit ribosomal RNA
Source: RNAcentral
GUAGGGGGCAAGCGUUGUCCGGAAUCAUUGGGCGUAAAGCGCGCGUAGGCGGCCCGAUAAGUCCGCUGUAAAAGUCAACGGCUCAACUGUUGAAAGCCGGUGGAUACUGUCGGGCUAGAGUCCGGAAGAGGCAAGUGGAAUUCCUGGUGUAGCGGUGGAAUGCGCAGAUAUCAGGAGGAACACCUAUAGCGAAGGCAGCUUGCUGGGACGGUACUGACGCUAAGGCGCGAAAGCGUGGGGAGCGAACAGGAUUAGAUACCCUGGUAGUCCACGCCGUAAACGAUGAGAACUAGGUGUGGGAGGUGUCGACUCCUCCCGUGCCGUCGCUAACGCAUUAAGUUCUCCGCCUGGGGAGUACGGCCGCAAGGCUAAA